GGACUACCCGGGUAUCUAAUCCUGUUCGCUCCCCACGCUUUCGCGCCUCAGUGUCAGUAAUGGUCCAGGAAGUCGCCUUCGCCACUGGUGUUCCUUCCGAUAUCUACGCAUUUCACCGCUACACCGGAAAUUCCACUUCCCUCUACCAUACUCUAGCUACUCAGUUUCAAAUGCAAUUCCUAGGUUAAGCCCAGGGAUUUCACAUCUGACUUAAGUAACCACCUACGCGCCCUUUACGCCCAGUAAUUCCGAUUAACGCUCGCACCCUCUGUAUUACCGCGGCUGCUGGCAC
RNAcentral lists this ribosomal RNA (292 nucleotides) under uncultured bacterium. RNAcentral describes it as "partial 16S ribosomal RNA". The record is from RNAcentral.